AGACGCUUAGCUCAGUUGGUUAGAGCACUACCUUGACAUGGUAGGGGUCAGCAGUUCGAGUCUGCUAGUGUCUA
Molecule: transfer RNA, 74 nt
Filed under: Paraperlucidibaca baekdonensis
Lineage: Bacteria; Pseudomonadati; Pseudomonadota; Gammaproteobacteria; Moraxellales; Moraxellaceae
Description: Moraxellaceae bacterium RL-2 tRNA
Rfam family: tRNA
About the family: Transfer RNA (tRNA) molecules are approximately 80 nucleotides in length. Their secondary structure includes four short double-helical elements and three loops (D, anti-codon, and T loops).
Source: Rfam by way of RNAcentral